UACAGAGGGUGCGAGCGUUACUCGGAAUUACUGGGCGUAAAGCGUGCGUAGACGGCUAUCUAAGUCGGGUGUGAAAGCCCCGGGCUCAACCUGGGAAUUGCAUUCGAGACUGAAUAGCUAGGGUACGGUAGAGGGAAGUGGAAUUUCCGGUGUAGAGGUGAAAUUCGUAGAUAUCGGGAGGAACACCAGUGGCGAAGGCGGCGACCUGGGCCAAUAUUGACGCUGAGGUGCGAAAGCGUGGGGAGCAAACAGG
Molecule: ribosomal RNA, 253 nt
Filed under: uncultured bacterium
Lineage: Bacteria
Description: partial 16S ribosomal RNA
Rfam family: Bacterial small subunit ribosomal RNA
Source: RNAcentral